GAGAUUCAUUCUUGGAUAGGUACUAAUUUUGAUCAUAUCUAGGGUGCAAAUUGAAUUUUUUUUUUCUUAAGAUUGAUUAUGAGGAUGAAGAGAAUGUGUGUGCAAAAUUUGGGGUCAUACAAAUGCCAAAAAUAUGGUUUUCUAGAGGUGUGGUUGCAUUAUACUACUAUACAACCGUUGCAUUAGAUCAUUUUCCAUAUAUA
RNAcentral lists this long non-coding RNA (203 nucleotides) under Amborella trichopoda. RNAcentral describes it as "long non-coding RNA (ATRI_LNC003770)". The record is from RNAcentral. Lineage: Eukaryota; Viridiplantae; Streptophyta; Magnoliopsida; Amborellales; Amborellaceae.